RNAcentral lists this ribosomal RNA (379 nucleotides) under Pseudomonas putida. RNAcentral describes it as "bacterial SSU rRNA". It matches the Rfam family "Bacterial small subunit ribosomal RNA", at positions 57 to 439 of the family's 1533-position model. Lineage: Bacteria; Pseudomonadati; Pseudomonadota; Gammaproteobacteria; Pseudomonadales; Pseudomonadaceae. The record is from RNAcentral.
GCAGUCGAGCGGAUGACGGGAGCUUGCUCCUUGAUUCAGCGGCGGACGGGUGAGUAAUGCCUAGGAAUCUGCCUGGUAGUGGGGGACAACGUUUCGAAAGGAACGCUAAUACCGCAUACGUCCUACGGGAGAAAGCAGGGGACCUUCGGGCCUUGCGCUAUCAGAUGAGCCUAGGUCGGAUUAGCUAGUUGGUGAGGUAAUGGCUCACCAAGGCGACGAUCCGUAACUGGUCUGAGAGGAUGAUCAGUCACACUGGAACUGAGACACGGUCCAGACUCCUACGGGAGGCAGCAGUGGGGAAUAUUGGACAAUGGGCGAAAGCCUGAUCCAGCCAUGCCGCGUGUGUGAAGAAGGUCUUCGGAUUGUAAAGCACUUUAAG